This is a long non-coding RNA of Pantherophis guttatus, 302 nucleotides long. RefSeq lists it as uncharacterized. The record is from RefSeq and is a predicted model, not a curated record. NCBI's taxonomy places the organism in Eukaryota, Metazoa, Chordata, Lepidosauria, Squamata, Colubridae.
UGCCUGUCUACUCUUAUCUAUCCUUGGCCCACUAGAUGUAGCAAGGAGGGCAUAUGCUGCAGGUUCCUUUCAUUAAAGGCCUCCGAGUCAUUUGAAAUGGAUAGUUAGAACUUCUUCUAUAAGACUGGACAGAUGAACAAAAAAAUGUAUGUAUAUAACAUACCAUCAAAUUUCUCUGGAACAACACAAGUGUCAUCAUAAAAUUGCCUUGGACCUUUUUCAUACAUACAACCUGUAAUUUUAGGAAAAGCGGAUACAUUACUCACUUGAAACAGAUUAUUAAAAUACACUGCCCUUCCCAA